AGUGAACGCUGGCGGUAGGCCUAACACAUGCAAGUCGAACGGCAGCACAGUAAGAGCUUGCUCUUACGGGUGGCGAGUGGCGGACGGGUGAGGAAUACAUCGGAAUCUACUUUUUCGUGGGGGGUAACGUAGGGAAACUUACGCUAAUACCGCAUACGACCUACGGGUGAAAGCAGGGGAUCUUCGGACCUUGCGCGAUUGAAUGAGCCGAUGUCGGAUUAGCUAGUUGGCGGGGUAAAGGCCCACCAAGGCGACGAUCCGUAGCUGGUCUGAGAGGAUGAUCAGCCACACUGGAACUGAGACACGGUCCAGACUCCUACGGGAGGCAGCAGUGGGGAAUAUUGGACAAUGGGCGCAAGCCUGAUCCAGCCAUACCGAGUGGGUGAAGAAGGCCUUCGGGUUGUAAAGCCCUUUUGUUGGGAAAGAAAAGCAGCAGGUUAAUACCCCGCUGUUCUGACGGUACCCAAAGAAUAAGCACCGGCUAACUUCGUG
RNAcentral lists this ribosomal RNA (492 nucleotides) under uncultured bacterium. Its description in RNAcentral is "partial 16S ribosomal RNA". It matches the Rfam family "Bacterial small subunit ribosomal RNA", at positions 29 to 507 of the family's 1533-position model. The record is from RNAcentral.